This 467-nucleotide ribosomal RNA is filed under the name uncultured bacterium. Its description in RNAcentral is "partial 16S ribosomal RNA". It matches the Rfam family "Bacterial small subunit ribosomal RNA", at positions 28 to 507 of the family's 1533-position model. The record is from RNAcentral.
GACGAACGCUGGCGGCGUGCUUAACACAUGCAAGUCGAACGGAAAGGCCCUGCUUUUGUGGGGUGCUCGAGUGGCGAACGGGUGAGUAACACGUGAGUAACCUGCCCUUGACUUUGGGAUAACUUCAGGAAACUGGGGCUAAUACCGGAUAGGAGCUCCUGCUGCAUGGUGGGGUUGGAAAGUUUCGGCGGUUGGGGAUGGACUCGCGGCUUAUCAGCUUGUUGGUGGGGUAGUGGCUUACCAAGGCUUUGACGGGUAGCCGGCCUGAGAGGGUGACCGGCCACAUUGGGACUGAGAUACGGCCCAGACUCCUACGGGAGGCAGCAGUGGGGAAUAUUGCACAAUGGGUGGAAGCCUGAUGCAGCAACGCCGCGUGCGGGAUGACGGCCUUCGGGUUGUAAACCGCUUUCGCCUGUGACGAAGCGUGAGUGACGGUAAUGGGUAAAGAAGCACCGGCUAACUACGUG